This 253-nucleotide ribosomal RNA is filed under the name uncultured bacterium. Its description in RNAcentral is "partial 16S ribosomal RNA". It matches the Rfam family "Bacterial small subunit ribosomal RNA", at positions 524 to 776 of the family's 1533-position model. The record is from RNAcentral.
UACGUAGGGUGCAAGCGUUAAUCGGAAUUACUGGGCGUAAAGCGUGCGCAGGCGGUGAUGUAAGACAGAUGUGAAAUCCCCGGGCUCAACCUGGGAACUGCAUUGGAAACUAACGGGCUUGAGUGUGGCAGAGGGGGGUGGAAUUCCACGUGUAGCAGUGAAAUGCGUAGAGAUCGGAAAGAACACCAACGGCGAAAGCACUCUGCUGGGCCGACACUGACACUGAGAGACGAAAGCUAGGGGAGCGAAUGGG